GGUUAAGCGACUAAGCGUACACGGUGGAUGCCCUGGCAGUCAGAGGCGAUGAAGGACGUGCUAAUCUGCGAAAAGCGUCGGUAAGGUGAUAUGAACCGUUAUAGCCGGCGAUGUCCGAAUGGGGAAACCCAGUGCAAUUCGUUGCACUAUCGUUAACUGAAUACAUAGGUUAACGAGGCGAACCGGGGGAACUGAAACAUCUAAGUACCCCGAGGAAAAGAAAUCAACCGAGAUUCCCCCAGUAGCGGCGAGCGAACGGGGAGCAGCCCAGAGUCUGAAUCAGCUUGUGUGUUAGUGGAACGGUCUGGAAAGUCCGACGGUACAGGGUGAUAGUCCCGUACACCAAAAUGCACAGGCUGUGAACUCGAAGAGUAGGGCGGGACACGUGGUAUCCUGUCUGAAUAUGGGGGGACCAUCCUCCAAGGCUAAAUACUCCUGACUGACCGAUAGUGAACCAGUACCGUGAGGGAAAGGCGAAAAGAACCCCGGCGAGGGGAGUGAAAAAGAACCUGAAACCGUGUACGUACAAGCAGUGGGAGCACCGUCGGGUGUGACUGCGUACCUUUUGUAUAAUGGGUCAG
This 581-nucleotide ribosomal RNA is filed under the name Pseudomonas aeruginosa. RNAcentral describes it as "partial 23S ribosomal RNA". It matches the Rfam family "Bacterial large subunit ribosomal RNA", at positions 1 to 623 of the family's 2925-position model. Lineage: Bacteria; Pseudomonadati; Pseudomonadota; Gammaproteobacteria; Pseudomonadales; Pseudomonadaceae. The record is from RNAcentral.